UAGCCUUGACAUUGAUGGAAUCUUUCAGAGAUGGAGGAGUGCCCGUUUUAGGGAGCCUGAAAAC
This 64-nucleotide ribosomal RNA is filed under the name uncultured bacterium. RNAcentral describes it as "partial 16S ribosomal RNA". The record is from RNAcentral.